CAGCCAUAUGUUGAAACACCAGUUCCUAUGUGAUCACCGAAGUUAAGCAAUGUCAAGCCUGGUCAGUACCUAGAUGGGUGACCGCUUGGGAAGACCAGUUGUUGUAAG
This is a non-coding RNA of Acanthosepion pharaonis, 108 nucleotides long. NCBI's taxonomy places the organism in Eukaryota, Metazoa, Mollusca, Cephalopoda, Sepiida, Sepiidae. The record is from the annotation of a GenBank genome assembly.